GUGUUGUUCUUGACUUAGUCAUACCAGUGAUGUUGCAUAAUUCCUUGAUGAUUUUGGAUCCAAAGUUGGCACCUUGAUCGGAGUGAAUUCUUUCUGGCAAACCAUAGUGGACGACAAAGUUGUUGAAGAAUGCGUCUGCAGUUGUUUUUGCUGUCUGGUUUCUUGUUGGUAUUGCCAAUGCAUAUCGAGUGAAGUGGUCUGUUAUUACUAGUAUGUUCUCAAAUCCACCUGUAGAUCUUUCAAGUGAGAGAUAGUCCAUACAUACUAACUCAAGAGGUUGUGUUGUCUCGAUACUAAUGAGUGGUGCUCUGUGACUUGCAGGUUGCUUUCGUCGAAUACAUCUGUCGCAGUUCGAUAUCCAGUUGUCAACAUCUCGAUUCAUACCAAACCAAACAAAACGAUCUCUAACCAAUGAUACUGUUUUGUCUCUGCCUUGAUGUCCCAUCUCAUCAUGUAAUGCUGUUAAUACUUUGGAAAUGCAGACUUCAGGUAAUACCAUUUGUUUAUG
Molecule: long non-coding RNA, 508 nt
Filed under: Mytilus galloprovincialis (Mediterranean mussel)
Lineage: Eukaryota; Metazoa; Mollusca; Bivalvia; Mytilida; Mytilidae
Source: RNAcentral